UAAUAUUGCAGAUAGAAAUAUGCUGUAUAUCCGUGUAAGCGAGUUAACGCUUAAGCGACAUAAUGAUGUCGUCGCUCACGGAGCCGCCUAAUGGCGGUUUUUUAAUUU
RNAcentral lists this non-coding RNA (108 nucleotides) under unclassified sequences. RNAcentral's name for it is "DUF3800-I RNA". It matches the Rfam family "DUF3800-I RNA". Rfam says of the family: Actinobacteria, Firmicutes, Fusobacteria, Proteobacteria (1 example), Tenericutes (2 examples). The record is from Rfam by way of RNAcentral.